Molecule: transfer RNA, 54 nt
Filed under: Tequintavirus T5
Lineage: Duplodnaviria; Heunggongvirae; Uroviricota; Caudoviricetes; Demerecviridae
Description: Escherichia virus T5 partial tRNA-Leu
Source: RNAcentral
ACCACCCCGAUCCCUCUGAGCUUGAGGGUGCGUAAAUUCGAUGCCUUAGAUUCC